AGAGCACAUUAGCGUUGGUUUCUCUACCCCUGCCCGGGUUCGGGCGUGCGUUCUGUGAGUGGCUCUCCGGGACAUUCAAAGCUCGACGCCAGGGUCCUAGCAGAAGCCAGGGUCCGAAAGCUAAGCGAGAGCUCUGGGACGUCCCUUCACCUGUCAGAGGGUGGCCUUGGGGCUUCCGCCUAAGGGGAGUCCCUGGUCCGGUUUCGCCAGCUUUUGGGCCAUUUGGGGAGUUUGGCGAAGAGGUCCCCACAGCUCGCCCCGGGGACGUACGUGGCGCGGCACUCACCUUCAUCGUCGGCGUCUCCUCGGAAGUGAGCGUUCAGAGAAGGAGCGCAGGCAGAAGUCACCGCGGGCGGCGGAGACGCGCGUCCUGCACCGCUGCUCCGGGCGGUGGAGUCACUCGCCGCUGGAAGGAAGACUGUACACAGAGAAUAAAUAACUUGGCCAAGCCAUUCAGCUAGGAAGUUGUAGAUCCUAAAUUAAGAGUUCAAGGUCUUAAUGGCUACUCUAUGCGGCCUCUCAUAGUCUUUUCAAGGGUUUUGGAGAAGAAUAAAAGAUCAGUCAUCCACAGAUGUUUGAGUGGUUACAAUGUGCCAGCCUCCCUUCUAGGUACUGGAGAUAAAGUGGGACAAGAGAGGUGAGGUCUGGACCCUUGGCACUUUCACGAUAAAAUACACAGAUGAGUCAAUGGUGUUACUGGACCCUGUGAACUGAUGCUGUGAAGAGAGGCCAUUUAACACGGACUACGGGGAAUGGUGCCACAGGGGGCUCAGUGCUGCCCUUCACUCUCAGCAUUUUGCUCACUCAGCAUUGAUGACAGGAUGUCCCAAAAGUAACAAAAGAUGGGAGCCAGUCCUCUCAUAGCUGUUUCUUCAAUCAUCCCAUCAACAGCUCUUCAUUUAUUGAACUACCUUCCUUUUCCAAAGAGGUAAUGCUGAGAUCAGUCAGAAAGGCUUUCUGAGAAAACUGGCUUGGAUUUCUGGGUCUGUUGCAGUCAAUUCAAGAUGAACUGGCUUGUAUCAAUGAAGCGCUCAAUGCAGUUCACAAAACAGGCCUCAGCCCGACUGUCCAACUUUGGCCCAGGCUUGUCCAUGCACUUCUCCCAACAAAGUUCAGUCAUCUGGUGCACCAGCUGCUGGAAGCGCUGCUUUUGAGUCUCUACCUCAAUGAAAAUGCUGCAACUGCGGGUCCACUGCACCCAAACCCGCCGCAGAGGAAGAGCAGGAGGAAUCCAUCCCAGGACAACCAUGCUUGCAGAGACGAACUCCGCACCAACCUUCACGUGUCUCCACGACCUAGUUAAUCAAUUUAAAAUGAGGUCACUAGGGUGGGCCCCAAUCCAAUAUGACUGAUAACUUUAUAAAAAGGAGAGAUUUGGAUACAGAAAGAGACAGAGUGAAAACCAUGUGAAGAAACAUAGGAAAAGAUGGCAGCUACAAGCCAAGGAGAAGCUUGCAGUGUGUAUUCAUCUGUUCUCAUGCUGUUAAUAAAGACAUACCUGAGACUGGGUAAUUUAUAAAGGAAAGAAACUUAAUUGACUCACACUUCCACAUGCUGGGGAUGCCUCACAAUCACGCCUGAAGGCGAAUGAGGAGUAAAGUCAUGUCUUACAUGGUGGCAGGCAAGAGAGCUUGUGUAGGGGAACUCCCCUUUAUAAAAUCAUCAGAUCUUGUGAGACUUAUUCACUAUCACAAGUACAGCACAGGAAAG
This 1710-nucleotide long non-coding RNA is filed under the name Homo sapiens (human). RNAcentral describes it as "HSALNT0306861". Lineage: Eukaryota; Metazoa; Chordata; Mammalia; Primates; Hominidae. The record is from RNAcentral.